UAGAAGGGAAUAUCUAUUAUGCUUGUAUAAUUAUAUCUAGAUUUCACAAGUUUUCUCUGUUUUCUCAAAAGUGAAAAUGGUAACUUGGGGACACCAAUAAACGUGUCCCUGGGAGCAGAUGGCAUUGUGGUAUAUCAUUUAAAGAUGUAUGAGUUGCUCAUUCUUACAUAUGGGUUUAUCUCUACCACUGUGAACUGUACCAAACAAGCUGAAGAAAAAUGAAUUAUGUCAGUAAAGUUAAGCAAGUGUCUGCUGGCUUGGAAAUAAAUUCUUACCCUGACUGCUUGGACCACUGAACUGGCUCUAGAGGCAUCCUCUAUGGCAUCGGGUGGCUGCUAUUCAAUUUACAUCCAAGCUCAGCUCUCACUGAAUCUAAAGGUAUACCACCCACUUAUUCAGAGAAAACAGAAAGGCAAUUACACAUCUUGUUUAAUGUCAUGGAAUCAACAGACAGCACAAUACCAAGGCACAGAGUGGAAUGAUUAAGGCCUGAGCAUACCUCAGCAGUGAGUGCUUUGAAAGCCAGCAGCAAUGAUACGCUGGAGGCACUGGUUUCAUUGCAGUGGUGUGUGGAAAGAAUUGGAAAGUGGGCAAACAGCAGGAGAAAGCAUUGAGAGUGUGAAACUUAAAAGGGUUAGAAAGACUUGUGGUACCUGGGGCCUCGUGGAAGGAAAGCUUUAUCUACACAAUUGUGUUUAUAAAGGCUGUAUUUCCCCAUCUUUGUAUAUGAAAAGGAUCGCUUUAUCAAAAGCAGUAGCUCUUACUGCAGCCAAACAAACAUGACCAACAUGCUCAGUUGUGCCUAACUGCCUAAGGAUUAACACCUAAAAGGCAGGCAUUUGGAACAGAGGCCCGGUAGCAUAAAGUUCAAAAUCCAUCCGUUCCUGGUGUAGCUCCAGUGAAACAGUGGGAACCACACCGGCUUGUAUCAGAUGACACUGCCCUUCAAUUCCUAUCAUCGCAGACCAGCAACCCAUUAAGGACACAUCUCAGAAACACACCAGAGCUGUCAGAGCAAUCACUUAGGAAUCAUUAGAACAACAGUUACAGAGUUCUGUGGUCCAUGCUUAGCUCCUGCAGCCCUUCCAAGUGCAAGGGUUCCCUCAACAGGCCCUAACGCUCAUCUUCUUUUGUAUGGUCCUUCAUGAUUACCUAUCAGCACGGCAAUUAACAGGGUGCUUAUGAAAGUCUUUAAGAUCACUUAAAAAAAAGAUUUUUAGAAAAUUCAGUUAUUAGUCAAAUAAUUUGCGUAAAUAUUACUUUUGUAGAGCUGCAUCAAUUACUCUUGCCAUUUCCUUGUUCAAGGAGCAGCAUCCCAUUCAGAAGGAAAGCAGAUAUGAAUUUGUCUUCAGAGGAGCCCAAAACACAGAGCCAGGUCUGAAUACUGCUCUUAUGAGGACUUACUGGAAAAAUCCACCUUACUCUGCUGCAGGGCUGACUCUAUACAGUUUUAAUAGGCAGCUCUGAAUCAGAAUCAGGAACUGCAGAUCCAGCUCCAAAGCUCGCAUUUGUUUUUGUUACCUUGCUGCUAUACAAUGGGCAAGCAAAGCAGAAACCUAGGAUUAUUCUUAAGGCUGACCACUUUAUUAAAAAUAUUAACAGUUGAAAAGAAUACAUUCUACAGUAAAUUCUUUUUUUCUUGUUUUGCAUUUCCCAGCAGUCACACUCACCUAUUCUAACUUUGUUAGCUGGUUCCAGAGAGCAGAGAAAGCAAACCAGCUCCUACUGAAAGAGGGGGCAAAAAUACUUCACACAACUGGGAGUGAGAAGGCAUUUCUGAAGGUCAUUACAAGCAAGGACUGAAUGCUAGGAUGACCCUGAACGUUCAUCUCCAUAGUGGAAUGAAUAAUGACUAUGUUAUCAGAGCGACGUUAAAUAUUGACUAUGAAUGCAUUAUAAAUGGUUUUCCCCCUGUAAUUAUAUGGGUAAGAUUAACUGAAGUUCUACCUGGAAGCUAUAAUUUUUGUGAUACUUUGUAACUCUACUUAAUGGAACUCGUAAUAAAUGACCUAUACUAGCAGGAAAUACAUCAGAACAAUUUUUACUUGAACAGCUAAAAUACAAACAGUACAUUUCUAAAAAGCUAUAUACACAUAAAAGUAUUUAAAACAAGUAAAAAUAUUAUUUAGGUUACUUUGAAGAUAAGAGCUUUAUCUGUAAAGAAUCUACACACCAUACUUAUGCAUUUAAUUGUAAAUAAAAUUUCAAUUAAAAGGGCAACAUUUUCUGGUAACUUUUCUGGUGUAACUUUUGUUCCAAGUAUUCCUCUACUUCUUAGCUAAAUAAAACAAAGAAAAAAUGUAGACAGGUUAACUUUGCAGACUAUAUUUCCAUGAAUGCCUUCACUAGUUGUAAAUGAACAGAGAUUUUGUUCUGAAUGCUGAAUGGCAAUCUGAAUUCUUUGUAAACCAGUUAAUUCUCGUAAAGCUGUAAUGGACAAGGGUGGUAAACUGUAAAAACUAAAGACUAAGGCUUAUCUUCAGGGGCUCCUGAGGGUUUUGUGGAGGUCUUAUUUUCCCUAGAAAUGAAUAAAUAAAGGAUUUUACUUUGAAGUUCAUAUGCUUGGGGAACCAGUUUUGCAGUUUGUACCUGCAGCUAUGUAUGAAGUGUAAACAUCUUUUCUCUGAGUACUGUCUGGCAGCAGCACCGGCUCUGCAGCAGCAGCACCUCUCAGUUUGGUGAGCACUUCCCUGCAGGCCUGUCCUCCAACACACCGACCCAUGUUCCACACAGCACGGCAAGCCAGAAGCAUGCCUCCCUGUAGCACUCGUGAAGCAAAGGUCCCAAACGCAGGCAGGCGCUGCAGCCUGGCGCAGUCACGUCUCCGCAAGCCACGAUGAGGUGUGCAGGCUUUCAUCCACCUGACGGAGCUGGUGGCCACCUCCACAGCCCCGUGCCUCCGGCCAGCUGCGUUUGGAUACUGUGCUGGUGUGAGGCCGCACAAGGCUCCGUCGGAGCUCAUCUCCAUGUGCCCCAUGUUUAGGGCAAAUCCUGUUUGACCAACCUGGUGGCCUUCUGUGAUGGUCUCACUGUGUCAGUGAACAAGGGAAGAGCCACUGAUGUCAUCUGUCUUGACUUCAGUAAGGCCUUUGACACGGUACUCCACAACAUCCUUAUCUCCAAAUUGGAAAGGAGCAUCAGGGACCUUGAAGGCCGCAGUCUGUUUCACCAGUGUCCAGAAGUCUUUUUGUCCAGCCUCCUGCUUGCUGUGAAACCCUUCCAGUUUCCAUCCAUUGGUCCCCAUAAAAGUUCAGCAAGCAUCAAUAAAUAUCAAUAGGCCAAGGAGAGAACAAGCUGAGGACAGCAAUCCCUAAUUGGCCUUCUCAUCCUCAGGGUGGAGAACCCUACCACCAGGCCCCAAGUACCUCGCAGGUCCUCCAGUGCACCCUCUGCUGACCCAGUACAGCCACCCAGAGGACACCAGGCCCUCUCCUCCCCAUCCUUUUCCUUUGGGAUCAGGGCAGAAGAGAUGCCACCUUCUCACGCUCCAGAUGCAGGGGCGAGAGAUGGUGAAGGACAGCUGAUGGAACCCUUAAAACUCAACAGAAUGAUUGCAUCUCCCUUGGCUGCCUGUGGGUUGUUAGUAUGCUUUGCCCCUUCUUUGCUGCUGUCUGGUACCAGGAUGGUUCCACCCCAGGCAGCUGCAGGGUGGUUGAGAGCCCCCUUCUCCAACCCUCUUGGUACAUUCUUGCAGCCAUCUCAAAGAAUUGGGCCAUGGUCCCCAACUCUCAACUGCCAAAUUUUGGUCACUGUGGGACACUCAGAAUCCUAUUGCCAUGGCCACCUUCUUUUUUGAGUCCUAUAAAUAUGGAGGCCCUGCAUACAGAACGCCAGUCGCUGAGCUGAAGCAGCCAGUGACAGUUUGCGUCCAAGUGAGAUAUGCAAGAAGUUUUUAUUUCCCAGAGUGAGGAUGAAGUGUCCAUCUUUCAAGAAGAGGCAGAUGAUGGAAGUGGACAAUGACAUCGAGCCCAUGGAGGUGGACCUGCCAGGCAGAGAUGAAGAGCCCAUGGAGGUGGAUCUACCUCUCGAGGACGACCUGAUGGAAGUGGGUCCACUUCCAUUGGAGCAGGCAGUUCACCACUCCAUCACUGUAAGGCCAACCAUGAAGAGAUCACGCCCCAAAGAUCAUCACAGGGGCGCUGAGAUCCAUAUGCCUCCCUCCACAUGGCCGCUUCGAUGCAGGUGCUGGUCCUCCCAUCCCAUAAGUUUACCAUUAGCCAGGAGAGCCUCAGCUCAGGGCCAUCCUGGGGGCUUACAUGGAGCCUCCAUUUCCUGGUAAUUCUUCUUUUGACAGCCAAGGCUGUUAUGAGCCCAUCCUUCCCGUCCUCUUCCUUCAUGCCUCCCCAAAGGAAAGGAGGUCUGCCUCCUUUCUCUGCCUCAGAAGUGACGGAGGCAGCUGUUCCUGUGGAAAAGCAGACUUCGGUUUGGACAGAAAGAAGUGCUGAACUUCAGCAGGAAGAUCCAGUCCGGAUGCUUCACUUGGACUUUUUUUUCAAGAGUAGGGAACUAACAAUUUAAAAUAACAGUUCAAAAUAAUA
Molecule: long non-coding RNA, 4538 nt
Organism: Numida meleagris (helmeted guineafowl)
Lineage: Eukaryota; Metazoa; Chordata; Aves; Galliformes; Numididae
Exons: 4
Source: RefSeq, a predicted model, not a curated record